This 71-nucleotide transfer RNA is filed under the name Cordylochernes scorpioides. Its description in RNAcentral is "tRNA-Gly". Lineage: Eukaryota; Metazoa; Arthropoda; Arachnida; Pseudoscorpiones; Chernetidae. The record is from RNAcentral.
UGCAUCAGCCGGGAAUCGAACCCGGGCUGCCCGCGUGGCAGGCGAGCAUUCUACCACUGAACCACCGAUGG